AUACAGGGGGUGCAAGCGUUGCUCGGAAUCACUGGGCGUAAAGCGUACGCAGGCGGGUAAUUAAGUUGGGCGUGAAAGCCCGGGGCUCAACCCCGGAAAUGCGCUCAAAACUGGUUGCCUUGAGUACGGGAGAGGUGAGUGGAAUUCCUGGUGUAGAGGUGAAAUUCGUAGAUAUCAGGAGGAACAUCGGUGGCGAAAGCGGCUCACUGGCCCGAUACUGACGCUCAUGUACGAAAGCGUGGGGAGCAAACAGGAUUAGAUACCCUGGUAGUCCACGCCGUAAACGAUGAGUGCUAGCUGGUGGGAGACCUUAUUUCUCUCAGUGGCGUAGCUAACGCGUUAAGCACUCCGCCUGGGAAGUACGGCCGCAAGGCUAAA
This 378-nucleotide ribosomal RNA is filed under the name uncultured Pseudobdellovibrionaceae bacterium. RNAcentral describes it as "bacterial SSU rRNA". It matches the Rfam family "Bacterial small subunit ribosomal RNA", at positions 523 to 898 of the family's 1533-position model. Lineage: Bacteria; Pseudomonadati; Bdellovibrionota; Bdellovibrionia; Bdellovibrionales; Pseudobdellovibrionaceae. The record is from RNAcentral.